GAUGAACGCUGGCGGCGUGCCUAAUACAUGCAAGUCGAGCGAACAGAUAAGGAGCUUGCUCCUUUGACGUUAGCGGCGGACGGGUGAGUAACACGUGGAUAACCUACCUAUAAGACUGGGAUAACUUCGGGAAACCGGAGCUAAUACCGGAUAACAUAUUGAACCGCAUGGUUCAAUAGUGAAAGGCGGCUUUGCUGUCACUUAUAGAUGGAUCCGCGCCGUAUUAGCUAGUUGGUAAGGUAACGGCUUACCGAGGCAACGAUACGUAGCCGACCUGAGAGGGUGAUCGGCCACACUGGAACUGAGACACGGUCCAGACUCCUACGGGAGGCAGCAGUAGGGAAUCUUCCGCAAUGGGCGAAAGCCUGACGGAGCAACGCCGCGUGAGUGAUGAAGGUCUUCGGAUCGUAAAACUCUGUUAUCAGGGAAGAACAAAUGUGUAAGUAACUGUGCACAUCUUGACGGUACCUGAUCAGAAAGCCACGGCUAACUACGUG
Molecule: ribosomal RNA, 497 nt
Filed under: uncultured bacterium
Lineage: Bacteria
Description: partial 16S ribosomal RNA
Rfam family: Bacterial small subunit ribosomal RNA
Source: RNAcentral